GGCAAAGAAGAGAAAGAAAACUGACCGAGAGAAAAAGAAAGAGAACCGAAGCUCCUUUGAUCUUUCGGUCUUGAUUUCUUGUGAUUCAUAACUCUAAUAAAAAAUUUAAUUCGGUAAAAGUGUUUGUAUCCUCCUCUUCUACAUGAUGGCGUUACUUUUGUCCAGUAGAAGUUGACGGUGACGUAACUUCUCUUUCUUUUGAGUUCGGCUAACUGGAGUUCUAGGAAGCACAGACGAUUUCUGACGCUUUCUCCUUCAGCAACCCAGUCAGAAAGUUUCUCCGGAGCUUUCGAUGAUUUUGAUUUCAUACGAAGGUGGGAAAUUUUAUUUUGAAAUUAACUGUUUUAAAUUAUGAAUGUCACGGAAGUCUAGUGGAUAUUUGCAAAUAAUUUAUGAUUGUUUGGAAUGACUGAAUGAUGAGUUUGAAUUGAAGCUAUGAUUGAUAUUGAUUUUGUGAUUGAUAUUGGUUUUCUGAUUUUGAUGGAGUUUUUGAAAUUCUGAUUUUAUGUGAUUAUGAUGAAUUGGUUGAGUUGUGGCUGUAAAAGGUGAUUAAAUUAGUGUUACUUGUUAAAUUGUAAUAUGAUGAGUUAAUUAUUGAAGAAAUUAUCGUAUUGAUAAUUGUUGAAUGGAGUUGGAUUUGAGUCUGGUUUGAAAAGUGAUGAAUUUGAGGGAGCCCGUAUGGGUGGUGAAGUCCAAUUUUUAAGAGGGAUUAUGCGCAAUUUUAUGUAAAAGUAACCGAAAACGUGGUAUUAUUUCGAAAAUCUGAUUUAUAAAUUUAUUUUGAAACAUGAUUUUAUAGUGAAAAACAUUUUAUUUACAUAUUUACUCAUAUUGAGAAACGUAUUUUGUAUUGAAAAUUGCCAAUCUGAUUUAUGAAUAUUGUUUGAUUUUUGAAUUAUUACGGAAAGAGUUAUGUUCAAUCCGAUUUAUUAAGAAAAUUAUAAUCUUUUAAAUUCACUCUUUUGAGAAGAGAUUUUGUUUUAAGUUAUGAUAUGAAUUUGGUUUGUUAAGAAAAAGAAAGAAUGAGAAAAGAACAUGGCACGUGUGAUUAUGAAAUGUUUAAAAGGUCACGAGAGGGUGACGGAAAGUAAAUGGUUUUGGUGCCAAUGGGAUAAUGUUAAGCUGUGGGCUUUAUAUGUGAAUAAUUGUGCGGGGACGCCCGUGUGUAUGAAAUGGCUUCUAGGAGAAAGUGGUAUUUAUUUCAUUACUCUUACGGCAUUCCCAUUCCCUACUGAGAACGCGUGGUUUGUUCUCACCCCAAAAUCUUCCACCCUUUCAGUGACACAGGUUCGAAGACUCAGUUCGAAGCUGUGGACGAUUAUUAGUCUUAUUUGAGUUAAGUUUAUGUGUUGAGUCGCUUUUGUGUAAUAUUUAUUACUAUUACUAAUUAUGUGAUUAUUAUUAUUUGGUAUUCUUUGAUGAAUGAUUCUGAUUAUUAACAAAAAAGAUUUUCUUUUGGAAUUUUCUCAAAAACUGAAACCCGAUAUCGACAUAAAGGCUCAAUAUUAAGUAGAUAAUAAAAGAAAAUAAGUUAGUAACUCCUACUUUUGCUACGAUCAUGACGUGCUAAAAGUUAGGGUGUUACAUUAUGGUAUUAGAGCCAGAACCCGGAUCGAUGUACCAGCGAGGGCGCUGGACUCUCUUAGGGGGUGGAUUGUAAGGUCCCACAUCGGUUGGGGAGGGGAACGAAGCAUGCCUUAUAAGGGUGUGGAUACCUCUCCAUAGCAUGACGCGUUUUGACGAGUGAGUGUGGGGGGCUUCGGCUAUCAUCCCUAUCGUCAAAGGCAAAAUCGUGAGGCCUUGUGUGCCAAAGCGGACAAUAUCAUGCUAGCGGGUGGUCUGGGCUGUUACAAUUACUUAUUAAGAGGCGUAAUUCAUAUUCUAAUAUUUAGAAUUUAAAUAUAUAGGUUAGUUUUUAAUAAAAAGAUAAAAGAUUUAAUUUUUUAUUUAAAAUAAAAAAAAUUAAAAAAUGAAUUGAGAUUCUUAAUCAUUUUUUUGUUAAUGUCUAUAUCUAUGUUUAGGUUUAUAAAAACUAUGAAUAUUAUGACAUAUAUUUAUUAUUUAUUUUUAAUUUUUUGAUUAAUUAUCUUAAAUUUGAGUUCACCAAGUUAAGAAAUAAUAGUUUAGGAAUAAAUAUCUCCUUACAAAUUAA
This 2152-nucleotide long non-coding RNA is filed under the name Arachis ipaensis. RNAcentral's name for it is "long non-coding RNA (AIPA_LNC002279)". Lineage: Eukaryota; Viridiplantae; Streptophyta; Magnoliopsida; Fabales; Fabaceae. The record is from RNAcentral.